AUUGAACGCUGGCGGCAGGCCUAACACAUGCAAGUCGAACGGUAACAGGAAGAAGCUUGCUUCUUUGCUGACGAGUGGCGGACGGGUGAGUAAUGUCUGGGAAACUGCCUGAUGGAGGGGGAUAACUACUGGAAACGGUAGCUAAUACCGCAUAACGUCGCAAGACCAAAGAGGGGGACCUUCGGGCCUCUUGCCAUCGGAUGUGCCCAGAUGGGAUUAGCUAGUAGGUGGGGUAACGGCUCACCUAGGCGACGAUCCCUGGCUGGUCUGAGAGGAUGACCAGCCACACUGGAACUGAGACACGGUCCAGACUCCUACGGGAGGCAGCAGUGGGGAAUAUUGCACAAUGGGCGCAAGCCUGAUGCAGCCAUGCCGCGUGUAUGAAGAAGGCCUUCGGGUUGUAAAGUACUUUCAGCGGGGAGGAAGGGAGUAAAGUUAAUACCUUGGCUCAUUGACGUUACCCGCAGAAGAAGCACCGGCUAACUCCGUG
This 490-nucleotide ribosomal RNA is filed under the name uncultured bacterium. RNAcentral describes it as "partial 16S ribosomal RNA". It matches the Rfam family "Bacterial small subunit ribosomal RNA", at positions 30 to 507 of the family's 1533-position model. The record is from RNAcentral.